Molecule: ribosomal RNA, 459 nt
Filed under: uncultured bacterium
Lineage: Bacteria
Description: partial 16S ribosomal RNA
Rfam family: Bacterial small subunit ribosomal RNA
Source: RNAcentral
CCUACGGGCGGCAGCAGUGAGGAAUAUUGGUCAAUGGGCGGAAGCCUGAACCAGCCAAGUAGCGUGCGGGAUGACGGCCCUACGGGUCGUAAACCGCUUUUGCACGGGGAUAACACCCUCCACUUGUGGAGGUCUGCAGGUACCGUGCGAAUAAGGGACGGCUAAUUCCGUGCCGGCCGCCGCGGUAAUACGGAAGGCCCGGGCGUUAUCCGGAUUCAUUGGGGUUAAAGGGAGCGUAGGCGGGCGUUAAAGUCAGCUGUAAAAUCGCGGGGCUCAACCGCGCCCCGCAGUUGAAACUGGACGGCUUGAGUUCACAACAGGCAGGCGGAAUGCGUGGUGUAGCGGUGAAAUGCAUAGAUAUCACGAGGAACCCCGAUUGCGAAGGCAGCCUGCCGGGGUGCGACUGACGCUGAGGCUCGAAGGUGCGGGUAUCAAACAGGAUUAGAUACCCGGGUAGUC